GCAGUCGUGGCCGAGUGGUUAAGGCGAUGGACUUGAAAUCCAUUGGGGUCUCCCCGCACAGUUUUGAAUCCUGUCGACUGCG
Molecule: transfer RNA, 82 nt
Filed under: Ixodes scapularis (black-legged tick)
Lineage: Eukaryota; Metazoa; Arthropoda; Arachnida; Ixodida; Ixodidae
Rfam family: tRNA
About the family: Transfer RNA (tRNA) molecules are approximately 80 nucleotides in length. Their secondary structure includes four short double-helical elements and three loops (D, anti-codon, and T loops). Further hydrogen bonds mediate the characteristic L-shaped molecular structure. tRNAs have two regions of fundamental functional importance: the anti-codon, which is responsible for specific mRNA codon recognition, and the 3' end, to which the tRNAs corresponding amino acid is attached (by aminoacyl-tRNA synthetases). tRNAs cope with the degeneracy of the genetic code in two manners: having more than one tRNA (with a specific anti-codon) for a particular amino acid; and 'wobble' base-pairing, i.e. permitting non-standard base-pairing at the 3rd anti-codon position.
Source: Rfam by way of RNAcentral